RNAcentral lists this transfer-messenger RNA (172 nucleotides) under Synechococcus sp. Lanier. RNAcentral describes it as "partial transfer-messenger RNA". It matches the Rfam family "Cyanobacteria transfer-messenger RNA", at positions 116 to 288 of the family's 288-position model. Rfam says of the family: Bacterial tmRNA, also known as 10Sa RNA or SsrA, is named for its dual tRNA and mRNA-like properties. Its role is to liberate the mRNA from a stalled ribosome. The record is from RNAcentral. Lineage: Bacteria; Bacillati; Cyanobacteriota; Cyanophyceae; Synechococcales; Synechococcaceae.
GACGGGGCAUCAGGCGGAUGACUGAAGCCUGCUCGGUGAGAGCAAAACCGUAACAGCGAACAACAUCGUUCGUUUCUCCCGUCAAGCCGCCCCCGUGGCCGCCUGACCCUUAGGGGAGAUGGGGUUAAGUUAGCCUUAUCAACCAAAUAACUCAUUGGGCCUGGAAGGGCCC